GGCGGACGGGUGAGUAAUGCUUGGGAACUUGCCUUUGCGAGGGGGAUAACAGUUGGAAACGACUGCUAAUACCGCAUAAUGUCUUCGGACCAAACGGGGCUUCGGCUCCGGCGCAAAGAGAGGCCCAAGUGAGAUUAGCUAGUUGGUAAGGUAAAGGCUUACCAAGGCGACGAUCUCUAGCUGUUCUGAGAGGAAGAUCAGCCACACUGGGACUGAGACACGGCCCAGACUCCUACGGGAGGCAGCAGUGGGGAAUAUUGCACAAUGGGGGAAACCCUGAUGCAGCCAUGCCGCGUGUGUGAAGAAGGCCUUCGGGUUGUAAAGCACUUUCAGUUGUGAGGAAAAGUUAGUAGUUAAUACCUGCUAGCCGUGACGUUAACAACAGAAGAAGCACCGGCUAACUCCGUGCCAGCAGCCGCGGUAAUACGGAGGGUGCGAGCGUUAAUCGGAAUUACUGGGCGUAAAGCGCACGCAGGCGGUUUGUUAAGCUAGAUGUGAAAGCCCCGGGCUCAACCUGGGAUGGUCAUUUAGAACUGGCAGACUAGAGUCUUGGAGAGGGGAGUGGAAUUCCAGGUGUAGCGGUGAAAUGCGUAGAUAUCUGGAGGAACAUCAGUGGCGAAGGCGACUCCCUGGCCAAAGACUGACGCUCAUGUGCGAAAGUGUGGGUAGCGAACAGGAUUAGAUACCCUGGUAGUCCACACCGUAAACGCUGUCUACUAGCUGUGUGUGUCUUUAAGACG
Molecule: ribosomal RNA, 740 nt
Filed under: uncultured Alteromonas sp.
Lineage: Bacteria; Pseudomonadati; Pseudomonadota; Gammaproteobacteria; Alteromonadales; Alteromonadaceae
Description: bacterial SSU rRNA
Rfam family: Bacterial small subunit ribosomal RNA
Source: RNAcentral